AUGCUCGCUUCAGCAGCACAUAUACUAAAAUUGGAAUGAAACAGAGAAAAUUAACAUGGCCCCUGCGCAAGGAUGGCACGCAAAUUCGUGAAGUGGGCUGGCCUUGU
Molecule: small nuclear RNA, 107 nt
Organism: Ochotona princeps (American pika)
Lineage: Eukaryota; Metazoa; Chordata; Mammalia; Lagomorpha; Ochotonidae
Source: Ensembl